GGGGAGAAAAAGGAAAAAAUAAAAUCUUUAAAAAAAAAAAUUAUAAAAAAAAGUGAGUAAGCUAUAAAUCCCCCACGGUCGUAGGGACCAUAUUUUUCUAAGUUCAGAGCAGGGGGAUGAUCUGAGGAAUUUGGGAGAGCCAGAGAAAACUGUCCCCGAAAAUCAGGGAUGUUGAAUCACCAAGGCUAAAAGAAAGAGCAUUCAGUUACAAAUCCGAGAGCAGCUCUAGGUCCUGCCAAGUGAGUCCUCCGUGGCUGCAGACAGCACAAUCCUUCACCCACACCGUGAACUCCCCAGAGCCUCAGGCGUCCGUGCCUUCCUUCUUUAAGACGCAGCCAGUCAGGAUCUCCUCCCCUGCUUCUGGGGGGAGGGGCCGUGGAGGCUAGCCCUAGCCAGCCUUCUGAGUGACAAGCCAGCAGCCAUAUUAGAGUGUGGGGACCGGCUGUGGAAGGCUGUUUGAUCAGAGUGGAAUUAUAGCAGUUCAUUUUCUAAAGUGCCGGGAGACCCGGGGAUGAACCUGCAGGGAGAAGGGAAAACCACAAGUGCAGCACCUCACAGAGAUGCAAUUCAUCACCGGCAUGACAGAGAGAAGUUGGACACUUCAGCGUGCCCCCUGCCGUCCCAAGGUCUGCACCAGCCUCCUCUCUCCAGGGCCUUCUCUUCCCUGCACACGCAGAGCUGCAGGAAGAUUCCUGAGGAAGGGAGGCGCUUCUCUACUCCGCCCAGUUCCACAUCUGUGGCCUCUUGAACUCGUCCCCAGGCUCUCUCCUGCUUCUCACUAGUGCUCCCAUGGUGCCACCUUGGUCCCCGAAUCUUCCUUGCACCGUCACACCAGCUGCAGCUCCUGUCAUGUACACACACUGCCACAGUACUCACCACCCUUUGUUGUAACUGCCUGAGUAUCUAUCUGUCUGCUGAGGCAUGUGUGGAAAAUGUCACAGAUUCACAGGGCAGGUAGGAACCCCACAAACUCUCUUAGCCCAGCCUGCUCAUUUCCUGGUAGAUUCAGUCAUUUUCUUUGAAGAACUUACAAUGCAAGUUGCACAUCUGCAACUUCCUACCAUCACACACUGUAUGUCUCAUAAUCCUCCAACCUCCAAAAUCUCUUAAUAUUCAGCCUUAAGUCAUAUCAUUUCAAAAGAACACCAUUAUUCGGGAAUAAAGGUAUUUUGUAGUGUUGAA
Long non-coding RNA from Equus caballus (horse), 1182 nucleotides. RefSeq lists it as uncharacterized. NCBI's taxonomy places the organism in Eukaryota, Metazoa, Chordata, Mammalia, Perissodactyla, Equidae. The record is from RefSeq and is a predicted model, not a curated record.